This 403-nucleotide ribosomal RNA is filed under the name Elizabethkingia sp. VV9. RNAcentral's name for it is "bacterial SSU rRNA". It matches the Rfam family "Bacterial small subunit ribosomal RNA", at positions 8 to 413 of the family's 1533-position model. The record is from RNAcentral. Lineage: Bacteria; Pseudomonadati; Bacteroidota; Flavobacteriia; Flavobacteriales; Weeksellaceae.
AGAGUUUGAUCCUGGCUCAGGAUGAACGCUAGCGGGAGGCCUAACACAUGCAAGCCGAGCGGUAGAGAUUCUUCGGAAUCUUGAGAGCGGCGUACGGGUGCGGAACACGUGUGCAACCUGCCUUUAUCAAGGGGAUAGCCUUUCGAAAGGAAGAUUAAUACCCUAUAAUAUAUUAUUCGGCAUCGGAUUAUAUUGAAAACUACGGUGGAUAAAGAUGGGCACGCGCAAGAUUAGCUAGUUGGUGAGGUAACGGCUCACCAAGGCGACGAUCUUUAGGGGGCCUGAGAGGGUGAUCCCCCACACUGGUACUGAGACACGGACCAGACUCCUACGGGAGGCAGCAGUGAGGAAUAUUGGACAAUGGGUGGAAGCCUGAUCCAGCCAUCCCGCGUGUAGGAAGACG